UUUGCCUUGUUACACUUCUGCGCUUAUUUAACACGGAGUAGGAUAUAUACUAUGAGAAAUAGUGUUACAAACAAGUUACAUACUUGGUAAAACUUUUCUGCCUUUUGUUUUGGCUCAAAAUGCACUACGCGUGGUAAUACACGGUAUUGUUUAUAGUCAUGAGAUUGUGAGUUACCCAGCCAAUGACGUCAGAUAAUGUAUUUUGUGGCAUAA
Molecule: non-coding RNA, 213 nt
Organism: Paramuricea clavata
Lineage: Eukaryota; Metazoa; Cnidaria; Anthozoa; Malacalcyonacea; Plexauridae
Source: the annotation of a GenBank genome assembly